AUUGAACGCUGGCGGCAGGCUUAACACAUGCAAGUCGAGCGAGCGGCGGACGGGUGAGUAAUGUCUGGGAAACUGCCUGAUGGAGGGGUCUAACUACUGGAAACGGUAGCUAAUACCGCAUACCAUCAGAUGUGCCCAGAUGGGAUUAGCUAGUCGGUGGGGUAAAGGUUCACCUAGGCGACGAUCCCUAGCUGGUCUGAGAGGGUGACCAGCCACACUGGAACUGAGACACGGUCCAGACUCCUACGGGAGGCAGCAGUGGGGAAUAUUGGACAAUGGGCGCAAGCCUGAUACAGCCAUGCCGCGUGUGUGAAGAAGGCCUUCGGGUUGUAAAGCACUUUCAGCGAGGAGGCGUUACUCGCAGAAGAAGCACCGGCUAACUCCGUGCCAGCAGCCGCGGUAAUUC
RNAcentral lists this ribosomal RNA (406 nucleotides) under uncultured bacterium. RNAcentral's name for it is "partial 16S ribosomal RNA". It matches the Rfam family "Bacterial small subunit ribosomal RNA", at positions 30 to 526 of the family's 1533-position model. The record is from RNAcentral.